RNAcentral lists this ribosomal RNA (87 nucleotides) under Neobacillus niacini. RNAcentral describes it as "Bacillus niacini partial 23S ribosomal RNA". It matches the Rfam family "Bacterial large subunit ribosomal RNA", at positions 1 to 84 of the family's 2925-position model. Lineage: Bacteria; Bacillati; Bacillota; Bacilli; Caryophanales; Bacillaceae. The record is from RNAcentral.
UUAGGUUAAGUUAGAAAGGGCGCACGGUGGAUGCCUUGGCACUAGGAGCCGAUGAAGGACGGGACUAACACCGAUAUGCUUCGGGGA